Molecule: transfer RNA, 85 nt
Filed under: Felis catus (domestic cat)
Lineage: Eukaryota; Metazoa; Chordata; Mammalia; Carnivora; Felidae
Also listed under: 3 other names
Rfam family: tRNA
About the family: Transfer RNA (tRNA) molecules are approximately 80 nucleotides in length. Their secondary structure includes four short double-helical elements and three loops (D, anti-codon, and T loops). Further hydrogen bonds mediate the characteristic L-shaped molecular structure. tRNAs have two regions of fundamental functional importance: the anti-codon, which is responsible for specific mRNA codon recognition, and the 3' end, to which the tRNAs corresponding amino acid is attached (by aminoacyl-tRNA synthetases). tRNAs cope with the degeneracy of the genetic code in two manners: having more than one tRNA (with a specific anti-codon) for a particular amino acid; and 'wobble' base-pairing, i.e. permitting non-standard base-pairing at the 3rd anti-codon position.
Source: Rfam by way of RNAcentral
GCCUGGGUGGCUCAGUUGGUUAAGCAUCUGACUUCAGCUCAGGUCAUGAUCUCACGGUUCAUGGGUUCGAGCCCCAUUUCAGGCU